GAUGGAAGGCGACGGCAGCGGCACGAAUGCCGGGAGCGAAUAGAUGAACAUGCCGGAGGCGUCGUAAUUGACGGAGACGACGAAGACGUUGGCAUCGGAGCCUGACGUCGCGGCGUUGACGGUAAGCUUUGCCGGAUCGAUCAGCGGAUAGGUAUUGACGUUGCCGGUGACGUAGCUGCUCGCGAGCGUGCUGCGCUCACUUUCGCUCAAUCCCGCGACCGAGGA
This 225-nucleotide unclassified non-coding RNA is filed under the name Hevea brasiliensis (rubber tree). The record is from RNAcentral. Lineage: Eukaryota; Viridiplantae; Streptophyta; Magnoliopsida; Malpighiales; Euphorbiaceae.